CUACGGGGGGCUGCAGUGAGGAAUAUUUCACAAUGGGGGGAACCCUGAUGCAGCAACGCCGCGUGGAGGAUGACGCAUUUCGGUGUGUAAACUCCUUUUAUAUGUCAAGAAAAUGACGGUAGCAUAUGGAUAAGCACCGGCUAACUCCGUGCCAGCAGCCGCGGUAAUACGGAGGGUGCAAGCGUUACUCGGAAUCACUGGGCGUAAAGGACGCGUAGGCGGGUUGGAAAGUCAGGUGUGAAAUCCUACAGCUUAACUGUAGAACUGCACUUGAAACUUCUAAUCUAGAGUAUGGGAGGGGGAGAUGGAAUUAGUGGUGUAGGGGUAAAAUCCGUAGAUAUCACUAGGAAUACCUAAAGCGAAGGCGAUCUCCUGGAACAUUACUGACGCUAAGGCGUGAAAGCGUGGGGAGCAAACAGGAUUAGAUACCCCGGUAGUC
RNAcentral lists this ribosomal RNA (439 nucleotides) under uncultured bacterium. RNAcentral describes it as "partial 16S ribosomal RNA". It matches the Rfam family "Bacterial small subunit ribosomal RNA", at positions 339 to 795 of the family's 1533-position model. The record is from RNAcentral.